AUUGAACGCUGGCGGCAGGCCUAACACAUGCAAGUCGAACGGUAACAGGAAGAUGCUUGCUUCUUUGCUGACGAGUGGCGGAUGGGUGAGUAAUGUCUGGGAAACUGCCUGAUGGAGGGUGAUAACUACUGGAAACGGUAGCUAAUACCGCAUAAUGCCGCAAGACUAAAGAGGGGGACCUUCGGGCCUCUUGCCUUCGGAUGUGCCCAGAUGGGAUUAGCUGGUCGGUGGGGUAACGGCUCACCUAGGCGACGAUCCCUUGCUCGUGUGAGAGGAUGACCAGCCACACUGGAGGUGAGCCACGGACCAGACUCCUAAGGGAGGGCGCAGUGGGGAAUGGUGGACAAUGGGGGGAAGCCUGAUGCAGCGGUGCCACGUGGAUGAAGAAGGCCUUCGGGUUGGAAAGUACUUUUAGGGGGGAGGAAGGGAUUAAGGUUGAGACCUUGGGUGAUUGACGGUACCCGCAGAAGAAGCACCGGCUAACUACGUG
This 490-nucleotide ribosomal RNA is filed under the name uncultured bacterium. RNAcentral's name for it is "partial 16S ribosomal RNA". It matches the Rfam family "Bacterial small subunit ribosomal RNA", at positions 30 to 507 of the family's 1533-position model. The record is from RNAcentral.